AUUAGAACAGAUGCUACCAGUUUUGCUGGACCAAAUAAUCAGCGAAUGGUUUAGUCAAAUUCAGUUUGAUAUUAUUAGCAAAAUAUUGUGCAUUUAUGUGUGAGUAUUUCACUUUGUAUGAGGUGUUUUUGGUGUAUUUUUUUAUAUCGUUUCGCUGAGAAAUGCAGAGGCGAACGCUACCGAAAGAGGUCACCAAAACGCCUCCUUUACCAAAAAGUGAACCUCCGAUAAAUGAUCCUCCCUACGAAGUUAUCGAAUUUCCAUCCCAGCAAUAUUCCAAUACAGCUUUGCUAUUUGGCAAUAAAACAGCGCAAAAUAAAAAGGAAGAAGUGAAACGAAAAUGUGACCUGUGUGGUUCCUCAAACGCUCAGUACCACUGCGAAAUGUGUGUUCAACAGGCGUUUUGCGUAUCUUGCGAUCAAAUGUACCAUCGACAUCCUAAACGACAAAAUCACAUUAGAAAAAGACUGCCAAAUGCUGCAUUUAAAGGUAAAAGUGACGGUCAACCUCCUAUACCACCUAAAGGAGAAAACCUAAUGGCGCCAAUUCCGCCUCCUCGACGUAAUAAACGUGCAAGUAAAAGUGCCCCAAGUUCUCAACCGGAGACGUUCAAGAAAAAUGGCAGUAUUAUGGGGAGUUUGAAACGAUUUGUGGGAGGAAUUCAACCUGUAUCUUCGCCAUUUCAACCAAAAGUUAAUCGUAACGAUUCAAGACCUCCAAAAUUUUCCCAUUCUUUACACUCGGCCGAAUUCGAUCCGCAGACUUUGAGAAGAGACGGAGGCUACUUGGGCUGGGAACUACAGGAUCGUCAUCGCUCUGGCAGCUUCGCAGCUCUGAAUGGACCCGGUUUCUCGCCAAUGAUCCAAGCUCAGUCGAUGGCUCAGUUGAACUGUCCCAGUUGCCAUCAUCACAGUGGUGGUGCCGGUGUCGGGAUGUCGGGCUGGGAUUGGAAUCGAAGUCAAAUGAACCUGAAUGCGCCUUUUCAACAGCCUUGGCCUGGCAUGUCAACGGGUACUUGGCACGGCUCCGUAAUGUUUCCACCUGCGUAUCGCAUGCCGGCUGAAAAUUUCUCAGAUCAUUCGUCGAGUCGACGAGGCAGUAUUCGCCAGCAACGAUAUAAUCGACGUCGACAAGAAGAGGACUCUGAGAGCGAGUUGUCUCUAUCGGAUGAUCGUAAAUCGCGACGCAGAUCUCCUGUGAUACGCGAACCGUCGCCGGCUCUUUCACGUCGUAGUCGUCGUACCAUGGCUAGUGAUACUGAAGACGAUACCGUGAGCAGAAAAAGCGACCGAAGGUUCAAACGUCGCGUUCCCAUGUCUCGCGAUCCGUCUCCAGGUGUCUUUCGUUCAGCCAAAGGUUAUCGGUCGAAGAAAUUGAACGAUGACGAUGACGCCAUCUCCGUCAAGAGCUCGUGCAGUCGUAAAAGUCGUCGAUCCCCUGUAAAUCCUCAUAAAUCUUCUCAUCACAGUUCGUAUCUACGUAAAAAGGCUGGCCGCAGUUCGAGCUCAGAUUCGGACGACGAACUUACUUCGGAACGUGACGCAAACGGCGAUAAAAACGCAGCCUCUGAUUCGGCCGAUGAUCAACCACCACCACCACCACCAGUUACACAGUUACCAUCAGCUAAACAUGUCGCCAAAAUGUCACAUAUCGCCAAAGCUGCAUCUGCCCAGAAGACCCAAGUCGCCGAAAGAGUGAAAACUUACGAAAAAAUGCAAAUCAAAAAACCAGACUCGAAAAUUUCCGGUAAAGAGGCCAAAAGCGUCGCUUCUGACGACGACGACGAAGGCGACUGGGAAUGCGAACACUGUACUUAUUUGAAUCCGGAAUCUGCUCGAGUCUGCGACGUUUGUUGCAAGUCGAAAAAACCAACCAUUGUGGAAUCUAAAUCACCUACUGAACAGAUCGUCGAAUCAAUGAAAGCCUUGGAGGUCUCGUCUACAACUGAUGCCAGCCAAAAGAAAAAAGGUGAUGAAAGUAUUAUUAAUGAAGAUAAGAAGACAGAGGCAGUGGCUACGAAAACUUCCACCGGUACAUCCCCGCCACCCCAAAGUGCGUCGACCCAAACUUACGAUGUACCCAGUUUAGUGAACAAACGCAACAGAUCACUUUCAUUUGACGAUUACAGCGACUGGAAUCCGAACAAGAAGUCGAGCAGUGCUGCUUCAUUUACUAGUGAUACUAAUCAGUCUUUAUCGUUGCCAUCGAAACAAGAAUUAUCACCUCAGCCUUCGCAGUCUCCUGUAUUUAUGGACGCCGUGUUACAAAAACAAAUGAAAGAUAGUCUGGAAAUCGUUAAAUUACUAAAAGAAGCAGAAAGACAUCAAUUCACCCCAGACGAUUUAACCAUAGCCUUAAUGCACUGCGGUGAGAACAAUCCGGUCAAAUGGCUGCUUGAAAACUGGAACCAGAUGAUCGAGACAGUCGUCACAUUGGCUACGAAUUUCGGCCACGAACAACCUGAGAACACAAUCGGAACUAUAUCCUCCCACGAGGCGAAAUCCGCUUUGCAUCUGCAUCACGGUGAUAUUUGGGCUGCAGCUACCGAAUGCAUAAGGCAAAGGCAGCGAAAAUAUGUUAAAUUAAUGGCGCAAGGAAAUUUCACUCGAGAAGACGUGGUCACUGUUUUGACAGCCAAUCAUGGAGAUAUCGAAGCUGCUUAUAUGGAAUUACGUAAAAGUCAGCUGAAACCUUUUCUAAUGAAAAUUUGGGGCCCUCCUCAAGGUUUAGAUAACGAGAGCGGUAAUACAUUUCGAUUGCACGAUAAAGAUCAAUUCGUCUGCGAACCCAGAAUACACUCGAUCCUUCCAAAAAACACUUCAAACCAUUCUCAAAACACUUUCAACUUCGUGCAAUCUUGGCUUCAAACCGUCAAUGUUCCCAAUUCCGAAGAUAACGAUUUAGUCGAUUUUGUCAACUUGAAGAAUAACUUGAGAAAACACGCCAGUGCUUUUUAUCUGAAUACCAACCCUCCAUCUGGAAACUCGCUCGUAUCUGAAGAAUAUUCUGAUUCUAACGACGAUCUUUAUUCAGCAUCUAUGUCCAAAGAUCCAUUUUUACGAUACAGAAGCUGCGAAAAUUUAAACAUCGCGAAUAAACGAACUCCGGUGGUUCGUAAACGAUUCCAUAAAUCGUCCGAGUCGUUAUUUUAUAACAGAACGAGACCUAAACCAGAGAGCGAAUUUUUUUUACAUCAUUUGGCUCAUUGCCCAAUCAACGACGUUGACCAUAUCAGCGAUAUUAAUCUGAGGAACAAAUUGUUUGGUGAUCUGAACGUGAACGAGCUUGAGAUGAACGAGCCGAGUUAUCAGUCCAGCGAUUCGGAAGGUUUCGAAGAUGUUGAAAUUUCUGCACAUUCCUUAAAAGAUUAUCAAAAUUUGAAACCGAACAAUUCAGAUAUUGAUUAUCAGAACUUGCCUGCUCAACAAUCCGCUAGUAAUAAUAGUUCAGAUGAAGAUCGUGUCGUUGAAACUGAUAGCUUAGAAGGAUCUAUUCAUCAUGAAUCGGUUAAUUCGACGGAUGAUCGAAUAGAUCACGUGGAUAAUCCAACAAAUAAUGAAAAAGAUACCGAAGAAAAACACUCGCCGCAGAUGGACAUUCCGUCUUCAGAUUCGUCUGUCAAAUCAUCACCACACGAGAUCCCUUCUGCGGCUGUUCUAAUUGCAAAACAAUCAGAAACUGUUGUUCAUCAUUCAUUCUCCCAGAUCACAAAUUCUCCAGAAAUGGUCACUGCUCGAAUAACUCCUGAAAAAGCUCAUCAAACUGCGGAAGAUACAAAAGACGAAUCAGAAUCGAUAAGCAGGUCACUGUUCGACGAACUGAAAGCUCUAUAUGUAUUGGCCAAGCAAAACUUGGAAUUUUUAAUCAUUUCCAAUAAUGAUGCAUCUGUUGAAGUUGCUAAUCCAUAUUUUCCUCCUAUUCAACGUACUAUAAAUGAAGCUGUCGACGCAGUUGUAGAUCCACAAUCACCAUCUCAAGCUGCUACUUCUACUGCAAAUGAUCCUCAGUCGACUAAAAAUUACCUUAGCCAAGCUUUCAUCGAAUUAAGUUCUCCGAAGAAGUCGCUGGGUGAUCAAGUAGGUUUCAACGAUCCCAAACACGAUCGUGUAAAGGAACCGAGCACCUCUGAUGUGUUGCAACCUUCCAACGAAGAUCUCCAUUCCGAUAGCGACGAUGAUUUCGAGGACGUUGAUAACAAAGAAUCAACAGAAAGUAAUUUCGUCAGUGGAAAUUCAUCCGAAAAUGAUCUAAGUUUUGUUGAAGAGCGAGAAGAAAAAUCAAUGGAACAUAUUGAUAAAGCUUUCAACGAAGCACUGGCUGAAGAUAUAAAAGAAUACAUCGAACGAGAGGCUGCUGAAAUAAACAACAAACCAGAAAUUAUUACCAAUCGAAUUGAACCGGUUAACCCAGUGGUGAUGAACCCGCCUGCAAAACCUAUUCAUAUUAUUCGAAUAAACGUCCCCGAUGAUUUAAUCAACACUCUUAAAUACGAUGAAAGAUCCAACGUGAAAUAUAUCCAAUCCCAAGUGGCUUCCAUAUCUGACAAUCACAUUUUUAAUGAGCCACAAAACGAAGUAAGCAGCAGUGCUGAAAAUAUUUCCAGUAAAGAGAAUCCUGUGGAGGAAAAAUCUUCUAGAAUUUCUUCACCAAACAGAGCACUUUCCGAAAAUGAAACUAGUGAUGAAGAAUACGAAAAUCUCGAUGAAGAGCUAAAUGGAUAUACUUCUCAAGAAUCUGGUCAAGAAGGAAGUUUUUCAGAGUAUAUUCGCGAAGUACGAGUAAUCAACAAGGAUGCAGAUCAUAUUGAAAACGAUGUUAGCGAAGAGGAAAAAAGGCAAAUAACACAUUCUCCUGAUGAGCAUCUUUCGGACAACUCUGAGGAUAGUUUCGAGGUCGAAGUUGAAAACUGCCUUUCACAAGGACUAACCAACUACGAUCAAGCUGUAUUGGCUGCUCAGCUGAUCAAAUUGAAAUUCGACCGAUCUCAAAGCUUGGAUGCAGCCAGCGAAUGCUCAAAUAUUCAAGCUGCUAUCACAUAUCUUCAACAAGACUGUCAACUUUGUGCAGAAAAAGUCUCAAUAAAACAAAUGAUCUCAAUGCUCGAGUGUGAACACAGAUGCUGCCAAACUUGCGCCGAACAGUUCUUUUCGUUGCAAGUAUUAGAAAAGAGUAUCGUCGAUUGUGUUUGUCCAUUUUGUAAAAAACCUAAGAUAUCUGAUUUGGAUUCGGACGAAGCCAUGUUGUAUUUUAGUAAUUUGGAUAUUUUACUCAAGUCCAUUUUGCAACCAAAUGUUCACGAGUUGUUUCAACAAAAGUUGAGGGAUAGGACUUUGAUGCAGGAUCCGAAUUUUAAAUGGUGCAUCAAGUGUUCUUCUGGAUUCAUUGCUGAGCCAGAACAACUUCGUGUUUUUUGUCCAGAUUGUAAAUCUGUAUCCUGUGCUCAGUGUGGUAAAUUGUGGGAUAAAGAACACGAUGGCAAGACUUGCGAACAAUAUAAUUCGUGGUUGUCGAAAAAUAACGUUAGCUCUCAACUUUCACAAUACUUGGAAGAUUUUGGGGUAACGUGUCCUAAAUGUGAUACUAAAUUUAUUCUAGUCAAAGGUGGCUGUAUGCAUCUUACGUGUAGUAAUUGUAAGUACGAAUUUUGUUCCGAUUGUAUGAAACCAUUUACUAUGGGGAAUGACUGCCAAGUAUCCAAGUAUUGUGCUAAACUCGGUUUACACGCUCAUCAUCCUCGUAACUGUUUAUUUUAUUUACGAGAUAAAGAACCACAAGAACUCAAACAGUUGUUGAAGGAUAACAACGUUCAGUUAGAUUUAAAACCGAAGGAGAAUACUCGAUGUGAUAUACCUUUGCAAAAAGAAACCGAAGACGGAUUGGUCGAUACGAGAUGUGGAGCACGAGUCGAGGAAGCUGGUUUAUGCAGGAAUCAUUUAAGAGAGCAUUUAAGUCGUAUAAUAUGUCGACUUAAACUGGAAACUAUAGAUAUACUAACGUGCGAUGAUUUGGAAACCAUUGUAACUAGGGAAGGUAAAAAAAGACCACCUAGAGGUUACAAUACUCCCGAAAACGAAUACUUUAAAGCGUUAUAUCAGGACGCAUUUUAUCGAGCAUUUAACGGCUUUAAUCAGAAAGAACAAAUUAGAUCCUAUAGUUAUAUUUGACCUGGCUGAAAUACUUCAGGAGUUUCGACGUCGCGGAAAAUCUCUACCAAUCAGAGCAGCCAAAAUGCUCGAGUACGAAUAUCGUCGUUAUUGUAUCGAGGUAAUUAAAGAAGAAAUGCCUUUAGAGUAACGCUUGUCGAACUUAAGAGGUCAUUCUAUUCCAUACACUAUUUUGCCCAAUUCGGUUUAAAUACAAGUAUUUUUUUCUUGUUUUUA
This is an RNA transcript of Planococcus citri (citrus mealybug), 6380 nucleotides long. It is a transcript of the gene named Linear Ubiquitin E3 ligase, with no coding region annotated. The transcript has 23 exons. Lineage: Eukaryota; Metazoa; Arthropoda; Insecta; Hemiptera; Pseudococcidae. The record is from RefSeq and is a predicted model, not a curated record.